UCGUAUAGUACCGUCAAUCUCGUACACGUACAAGGUGUUCUUCCUAUACAAAAGCAGUUUACAACCCAUAGGGCAGUCAUCCUGCACGCGGCAUGGCUGGUUCAGACUUGCGUCCAUUGACCAAUAUUCCUCA
RNAcentral lists this ribosomal RNA (133 nucleotides) under uncultured bacterium. RNAcentral's name for it is "partial 16S ribosomal RNA". The record is from RNAcentral.